AAGCGUUGUUCGGAAUUACUGGGGGUAAAGGGCUCGUAGGCGGCCAACUAAGUCAUACGUGAAAUCCCUCAGCUUAACUGGGGAACUGCGUGUGAUACUGGAUGGCUUGGAUUUGGGAGAGGGAUGCGGAAUUCCAGGUGUAGCGGUGAAAUGCGUAGAUAUCUGGAGGAACACCGGUGGCGAAGGCGGCAUCCUGGACCAAUAUUGACGCUGAGGAGCGAAAGCCAGGGGAGCAAACGGG
RNAcentral lists this ribosomal RNA (241 nucleotides) under uncultured bacterium. Its description in RNAcentral is "partial 16S ribosomal RNA". It matches the Rfam family "Bacterial small subunit ribosomal RNA", at positions 536 to 776 of the family's 1533-position model. The record is from RNAcentral.